AUGGCCAAACCGCCCAUGGUUACCAGUCUGACUCCCAUAGUACCAUGGUACGAUGCUUGAAAAACUAUGGUAUUACUAUGUAUGUCUAAAAACCCAUGGUAUUACAAUUGUACAAUGUCCAAAAUAAAGAGUACUGCCAUAAUGUAAUAUAUGCAAUAUUUUUCUGUGUGUUAAUAAAAAUAUUUUUCUAUAAACUCCAAAGUAAACAUUAAUACUUCAAAUAUUGCUUUGAAAACUUAACUGUUGUUAUCCAUGAACUUUAUUUGAUAGUCCUGUUUAAAAUACUAUGCAUUUACUGUGUAGCUGCAUUAUACUAUUAGGUACCAGCCCUGAACCUAACCCAUAUUAAGUAGAACAUGCAGUUAACAGUACUUUUUUAUGUAUGUUGUAUACAUUGUAAGAACAUGGUUUGCCUAUAAGAGAAAAAAUUUUAAGAUAACGGAAGCAUGACAGACAGGCUGAUAAUCAUUACAAACUUGUUUUUUUCUGUCACCUCACUCUGUGAAUGUGUUAAUGUGGUAUUACUAACAAUGGAGCGUAGGCAUGAAAGCUUGUGCACUUGUGUAAGUCCAUACGUUUUUUGUCAUAUAAACACUCUUGAGUCCUGGGACUGUAGACUUCCUGGCCUUUUUGGAGUCGGCAGGAGUUCCUUUUUGUCCAAAAGAGCCCUGUGUAAGGACCAGCGGGGGUGCAGGAUGCUGGAGGUGUGUGCCCAAGCUCCAGCUUUUGUUCCCCACCGCUGAUUGAUGCUGAUGGCCUUUAGCUUGCUCAGAAAGAGCAGCUUGAGUGUAACUGGACCUCCACAGAGCGGAAGCUUGACUUGGCAGAAGACACAGUAAGAGGGAGAGGCGACAUUUAUAGAGAACACCAGCACAUGCCAACUAAAAACGGGAUUUGCAUCUGUCAUAAUUCGGAUAUUCUCAUACUACAGUCGAUGAUGAAUGGAAAUGUGCAACUUGUGUUUAUCUUAGAUGCUGCUCUAUGUCCUGAUCCCAGGUUUGAUUCAUUCAUCAUGAUGAACACAGAUGUACACAGUUACGAACAUACACUGCAAAAUCACAAGUGUUAUAAGUGUUAAUGGUCUGGUGGUACUCAUAUAAACACCAGCAGUGUACAUUUAACACUGGUGAUUUUGCUGUGUAAAAAUAAAAACUACAAAUCUGUUCUCAGGCCAGGAUUGAAGACCACAUUUGUCCUUGUAGAAGAGUCUGUGAAAGAAUAGAUCAUAUCUGUUCUUUAUUAAACCCACAUGUCAAUGGAUGAUAACAGUGACUUCAUCUGAUUUUCCUUGAUGUGCUUAGCCCUUAUGUAAUGUGAUGUUAUAUAAAAAUAUGAUAUUAAACUGCACCUGUUGAUGGCUGUGAGAAGUAUUUAUGGAGUCUCAUCUAAACAGCCUGGAAUGAAAAGAUAGUCACCUUUGGAUUAAAACAUACUUUCUCUGUGUAGCUAUUUUGUGUGUUUUAGUUUAGUGUUUCAACCACUUAGUAACAUGAGCACUAUUUCAAAAGAUGAUUGGCCAAUUUCAAACUCAAAUGAUCAGCCAGGAGAACAAGCCUCUCUAAGUCUUUGCUUUCAUACAGGGGGAUUUGAGGGGCUUCAAUUCAUGGUGCACUUAAAUUAAAUUCCUCUUGUGUAUAGACCCACACUGGGACUAGCACAAGAUUCCUAUUUUUCAAGCCUCUUUGUGUCCACUGUGCUAUAGACAUCCUGCACAUUAUAGGCCAUUUGGUCUCCUGGGCCAAAAGCCUCAUUUCACAUAAAAGAAAAACAGUGUGUAACGGGGUGAUAUGAGUUUGAGACUGCAUUUCCCAUAAGGCUAUGCAGUAGCGUAAUGUUUACGUCAGCACGCCUUAUAAAUAGACGCACGGUAGCAUAGCGUGUCCUCCUCUUUCAUUCAUUGAUGUUGCCAACAAGCAAACAUUAUUAUAAGGUAACCUGUGCUUGAUUGUGUUUGUGUAAUUAUAUGGGGUGUGUGGUAGCAUAACACACUUUCGUUUCAUUUAUGCAUUGAUGUUGUAUACAAGUAUUUGCUACUAAGUGAUUUGCACUUCACGCUGUCUGUAUACUAUAAAUAGACUCAUAGUAGUGUGGAUUGCUUUCACCUCAUUUGUCGGGUCUACAAACAAGCCUGUCGAUCUUCAGGUUACUGUUCAUUUAAUUUAAUGCGGGUAUAAGGCAUCUUCAUGUACAGAUUUUAUUGUUAAGAUGUUAAUGGUGAUUGGUCUGACGACAGAGUCUUCAAAGAGUAUGAGUGAUGUAUGAGCGAAAUGCUUGUUAGAGGUAAUGAGUAUUAAUAAGUCUUUCUGUUAAUAUGCUAAAAUAAGUUUUUGCUCAUAAAGGUUGUUUGUAGGUUCCUUUUUAAUAGAAGAAACAACCGGUUGGUUUUAAUUCUGUCUUUCUCAGAUCCAGAUAUAUGUUAAAGGUAUUUUCUUAAUUUGGUAAAACCUCUAAUUUAAUUUAAGGGUUGAUUUAAGGAAUUCAUAUUAAGUGUUUGUUUUACAGGUCGAGCACGACUAUUGUUACUAUUUUAUAUUUUGAUUUUUGUGGUGAAUUACCCCUUUUUCAUUGUAUAAGUGAUUUAUGAUUAUUAUUAGUAUUUGUGUUAUGAUUUGAGGGUUUUCUAUUCAUUAUUAUUAUUUUUAUUUUAUUUUUGUGAAUGUAUGAUUAAUUUUGUUUCCUCUCUUUGUAGUUUCAUCCUUUCUGACUCUCGGCAGCACAGGGGCUUCCCUUGUGGGUGCGACUGGGACUGGUGCGGUGGUGGGAUAUUCUUGUGACGUGGCACCUUUUAUUGUGUGCUGUGAUUGCUGUGUUGAAGUGGGGUUGCAUUGCAGUGGUUGUAUAUCCUUCACAAUUCCAGUGGCGCCUUUUAAGGAGCCCUGUGAUUUUGUCAUGAGAGUAUAAAUAUUGUUCUGCAUCAUGAGGUUUGCCAUAGUAUUUUAAAUAUUUUAUCAUGUUAUAUGGAAUUAGAAGUUUUGUAUUAUAAAUAAAACUGCUUGUAAAAGUGAUCAUUUCUAUUACCGUCUGUGGCAUUAAGUUUAUAGGUUUAAAUACCAGGUCAGGUUGGUUACAAGUGUUAAAAAGGAAAUUGGAAGUAUAUGAAGAUCUACUGUUUUAAGAUCAGACUCUCCCCAUACUAAGAUAAAAUUGCACAUUUUUUUUUUUAACUUACAGAAUUCAAGCUGUACAUUUUUAUCAGUACACUGUGUUCCCCAGGGAAUACACAUGCCAUAUCAACACAGGCAUUUACAGGUGCAAUAUUGUUCACUGAUUCUGCAGUAAAGCGACUUCGUAUACACCCUAAAAGUCAUUGUCAUGGUGAUGUUUUUCUGACAAUUUUUAUCCUUUCUUGGGACGUAUUCUGGAGUUCACUUUUAAAUGAAUUUCACUAAACCAGACAAUCUGCUAAGGAUAUUUAAUUCCUUUAACUGACAACCCAGGCAGGCUUUUUUAACCACUGACCUGUGUUGAUCAGUAAAUAAACAGUAUAAAGGUAUAAACCUCCUGAGCUUGCAGGCAGGGGAAGCCCGGCAUGAUUGGAAUGUAUUGAUCAAUGC
Misgurnus anguillicaudatus (oriental weatherfish) is the source of this 3554-nucleotide non-coding RNA. NCBI's taxonomy places the organism in Eukaryota, Metazoa, Chordata, Actinopteri, Cypriniformes, Cobitidae. The record is from RefSeq and is a predicted model, not a curated record.